Molecule: unclassified non-coding RNA, 18 nt
Filed under: Mus musculus (house mouse)
Lineage: Eukaryota; Metazoa; Chordata; Mammalia; Rodentia; Muridae
Description: oocyte_clustered_small_RNA11348
Source: RNAcentral
UUAAGGAUUCUGGAUGAC